AUGACCGACGCGGGUCAAAGUGUAUACACUAUCUGUUCUUAUCAGCUUAAUAUCUGAUACGGGUUCUGUUUGGAUACAAUAUGUUAAACUUAUUUUUGAAAGUUGGCUGAAUGCUUGAAGCCUGCUUCACCUCCGCUGCGGGUCGGCCCGAUAUUGCACAAUGUCCGGGAUCGGUCCAAGUUUU
Molecule: small nuclear RNA, 184 nt
Organism: Dermacentor albipictus
Lineage: Eukaryota; Metazoa; Arthropoda; Arachnida; Ixodida; Ixodidae
Product: U2 spliceosomal RNA
Source: RefSeq, a predicted model, not a curated record